UAUAAAUCUCUAAUCACUAUAUGCUUUCAAAUCCCAAUUGUCGUUUCGUCUCACCUUUUACUCUGUUGUCACUCUCAUCCCCACAGCCACCGCCUCCUUCUCUGCACCCUCCGCCUCUUCGUCACUACCAUCUCUGUCUAUCAUGCCUUCUCCCUUUCUCUCAAUUCGGUUCCUCUUUCUUGUCAUUGGCCACAUGUUUUGUCCAUUGACUAGAGCGGAGGAUUCUUGUUAGUAGCAUUGUUUGCAACACGAGAGUCAAGGAAAUGUUCAACAAUUUUGGUGACUUGUUCUGUACCAUCACGGGGUUUGACUCCUUCUCCUUGCAACCGAAUGUUGGUGCUGCUGGAGAAUAUGUUGGACUUAUGGUUAUCCGUGCAUAUCAUCUGGCAAGAGGUGACCAUUACAGCAAUGUUUGCAUUAUACUUGUCUGGGCAUAUGGUACAAGGUGCAAGCGCUGCAAUGUGUGGAAUGAAAAUUGUCUCCCUUGAACUGAUGCCAAGGGAAACAUUAAUAUAGAAGAGUUGAAGAAGGCUGCUGAAAAACACAAGGACAACUUAUCUGCAGUUAUGGUACAACUGCAGUUAAUUGAGGUAUUGUCAAACCUAAGCAUUGUUUACAUUAGUUUGAUCUUGAUUUAAUUGCAGGAGAAACAUCAAUUUGGCUACCCAUGGCCACCCAAACUCUAAAAUCUAGAUAACUAGAUAUAGAAGAACAAUUUUUGAAAAGUUAAGCAUAUCUUUUCCCGUGGAUAUCUUUUCAAUAUUCAAUAACAUCUAAUAUCUUUCAUUUAUUGCAUUGUUUCAGUAAUGGCUUCUUGGUUACCGUGUAAUGAGAUGAUGCUCAUUUGCUUUAUUGACGUUUGCUUGGUUGAUUUUGAUGCAAUAUAUGUUGACAAUAUUUA
This is a long non-coding RNA of Vigna umbellata (rice bean), 901 nucleotides long. RefSeq lists it as uncharacterized. NCBI's taxonomy places the organism in Eukaryota, Viridiplantae, Streptophyta, Magnoliopsida, Fabales, Fabaceae. The record is from RefSeq and is a predicted model, not a curated record.